CUUGACACUGAACAUUGAGCCUUGAUGUGUAGGAUAGGUGGGAGGCUUAGAAGUGUGGACGCCAGUCUGCAUGGAGCCGACCUUGAAAUACCACCCUUUAAUGUUUGAUGUUCUAACGUUGACCCGUAAUCCGGGUUGCGGACAGUGUCUGGUGGGUAGUUUGACUGGGGCGGUCUCCUCCUAAAGAGUAACGGAGGAGCACGAAGGUUGGCUAAUCCUGGUCGGACAUCAGGAGGUUAGUGCAAUG
This 247-nucleotide ribosomal RNA is filed under the name Escherichia coli. Its description in RNAcentral is "partial 23S ribosomal RNA". It matches the Rfam family "Bacterial large subunit ribosomal RNA", at positions 2110 to 2356 of the family's 2925-position model. The record is from RNAcentral. Lineage: Bacteria; Pseudomonadati; Pseudomonadota; Gammaproteobacteria; Enterobacterales; Enterobacteriaceae.